GGGAAUCUACCCUGAUCUGCGGGAUAGCUCCGGGAAACUGGAAUUAAUACCGCAUGUGCCCUGAGGGGCAAAGAUUUAUCGGUUCAGGAUGAGCCCGCGUCCGAUUAGCUAGUUGGUGGGGUAAAGGCCUACCAAGGCGACGAUCGGUAGCUGGUCUAAGAGGAUGAUCAGCCACAUUGGGACUGAGACACGGCCCAAACUCCUACGGGAGGCAGCAGUGGGGAAUAUUGGACAAUGGGCGCAAGCCUGAUCCAGCCAUGCCGCGUGAGUGAUGAAGGCCCUAGGGUUGUAAAGCUCUUUCAGUGGGGACGAUAAUGACGGUACCCACAGAAGAAGCCCCGGCUAACUUCGUGCCAGCAGCCGCGGUAAUACGAAGGGGGCUAGCGUUGUUCGGAAUUACUGGGCGUAAAGCGCACGUAGGCGGACAUUUAAGUCAGGGGUGAAAUCCCGGGGCUCAACCCCGGAACGGCCUUUGAUACUGGGUGUCUUGAGUUCGGAAGAGGUGAGUGGAAUUGCGAGU
RNAcentral lists this ribosomal RNA (520 nucleotides) under uncultured bacterium. Its description in RNAcentral is "bacterial SSU rRNA". It matches the Rfam family "Bacterial small subunit ribosomal RNA", at positions 120 to 674 of the family's 1533-position model. The record is from RNAcentral.